RNAcentral lists this transfer RNA (70 nucleotides) under Callitettix versicolor. Its description in RNAcentral is "tRNA-Pro". The record is from RNAcentral. RNAcentral also lists the same sequence under 1 other name. Lineage: Eukaryota; Metazoa; Arthropoda; Insecta; Hemiptera; Cercopidae.
CAGCAAGUAGUUUACUAAGAAUUUAAGUUUUGGGAAUUUAAGGAGGGAUAAAUUAUUAUCUUUUUGCUGA